CCUCUCACUUUUCUCUCCCCCUCUCUCUCUCUCUCUCACCCUAGUAACUCCGGCGACGUCACCACCAUUCCUACCGGUCACCUCGCGCCGCCGCCGUCCCUACCCAGCUGAAAAAAUACUACUUCUUCCAGAUCUCUCCCCCAUUUUCUAUGCUCUCAAACUUUCUUCACUUCAUUUUCCCCAUAUCUCACGCCCUUCUCUUCUUCCAAUGCUCUCCACCUUCGUUUUCCAUCUGCUAGUUGUUUGUGCUUGAUUUAGGAGAUCAUUGUGCCGCUGCCUCUAUUGACAACUUUGACGAUUAGUAGACAGCCUCCUUAAUCUUUCUGAUACCGCAACGAAGACAUUCUUUGAGCCAUUUCGACAUUUUAGAGAUCUGUGAGGGGUAAUGCACUUGACAAUCUUGACGGUGUAGUGAUGGCAGGUGAAAAAAAGGGUAAGAAAACAAAGAAGGCUAAGGAGACGGGGGUUUCCCAGAGACCACCACAAAACCUUGUGAUUAGAGAUAGAAGCCCGUCGCCACGUCUCCCACCACGCGGUGCUCCAUUGCCUUAUGAUCCCCUCAUGAACGGCAUUGCAUAUAGUCUUCCACCUCCAUACAGCUUUGGUCGGCCCUAUAUGGCUCCACGCGAGGGCUUUACUGAGGCGCCUCCCCAGAGCCCCUCGAUGAUGUCCACACCAGGUUAUCCUACCCCACAGGGCUUCACUCGGUAUACUUCCGGAUCUCAGCAGGCUACGUCUUGUGGUACUCCGACGGCCACUCCCAGUCCGACUGCAUCACAUCAUUCUUCAUCAUCUACUGAACAGUGCAAUAUUACGGGUCCUGAUCUUCGAGAAAUUAGAUCUGCGCCACACACUCCUACUGUGAAUGACUGACGUGGAGGUGUAAGUGCUUCAUCACUGGAAUCUUAUGAUUCAUCAGGGCGACUCAUCAUCGAGCCUGCAGGAUACGGUUGGUUACCAGACAAAGCUUCAAGUCUCCUUACGAAUGAGAUAGAAAAACUGUUUAAAGACUCACCUACUUGGGGCCAGAUGUCACCAAAUCGCCAGAGACAGAUCUAUUAUGCAUUUAAGGAAAAAUGUGUCUGGCGCCCGGAACAUGAGAAGCAGCUAGCCCAAAACUUCAAGAAGAAAGCUCAGCGCUUACUAGGUGACAUGUUAGGAAGGGUUCGUGAAUCUAAUAAGAAGCCCAAGUGGAUCCUUCCUGAAAACUAUGCCAAGCUACUUCAUUACUGGACAACUAAUGAAAGAUUCUUACAACUAAGUGACAUAGGGAAGAAGGCUAGAAAUUUGACGAAAGGUGGCUCCCUACACACUAGUGGGGCUAUGAGCCAAGAGGUCGUGAG
Long non-coding RNA from Lycium ferocissimum, 1343 nucleotides. RefSeq lists it as uncharacterized. The transcript has 6 exons. NCBI's taxonomy places the organism in Eukaryota, Viridiplantae, Streptophyta, Magnoliopsida, Solanales, Solanaceae. The record is from RefSeq and is a predicted model, not a curated record.